Molecule: ribosomal RNA, 814 nt
Filed under: Corynebacterium variabile
Lineage: Bacteria; Bacillati; Actinomycetota; Actinomycetes; Mycobacteriales; Corynebacteriaceae
Description: bacterial SSU rRNA
Rfam family: Bacterial small subunit ribosomal RNA
Source: RNAcentral
UCGACGGAAGGCCCUGCUUGCAGGGUACUCGAGUGGCGAACGGGUGAGUAACACGUGGGUGAUCUGCCCUGCACUUCGGGAUAAGCCUGGGAAACUGGGUCUAAUACCGGAUAGGACCAUCGUUUAGUGUCGGUGGUGGAAAGUUUUUCGGUGCAGGAUGAGCCCGCGGCCUAUCAGCUUGUUGGUGGGGUAAUGGCCUACCAAGGCGUCGACGGGUAGCCGGCCUGAGAGGGUGGACGGCCACAUUGGGACUGAGACACGGCCCAGACUCCUACGGGAGGCAGCAGUGGGGAAUAUUGCACAAUGGGCGCAAGCCUGAUGCAGCGACGCCGCGUGGGGGAUGAAGGCCUUCGGGUUGUAAACUCCUUUCAGCAGGGACGAAGCUUUUGUGACGGUACCUGCAGAAGAAGCACCGGCUAACUACGUGCCAGCAGCCGCGGUAAUACGUAGGGUGCGAGCGUUGUCCGGAAUUACUGGGCGUAAAGAGCUCGUAGGUGGUUUGUCGCGUCGUCUGUGAAAUUCCGGGGCUUAACUCCGGGCGUGCAGGCGAUACGGGCAUAACUUGAGUGCUGUAGGGGAGACUGGAAUUCCUGGUGUAGCGGUGAAAUGCGCAGAUAUCAGGAGGAACACCGAUGGCGAAGGCAGGUCUCUGGGCAGUUACUGACGCUGAGGAGCGAAAGCAUGGGUAGCGAACAGGAUUAGAUACCCUGGUAGUCCAUGCCGUAAACGGUGGGCGCUAGGUGUGGGGGUCUUCCACGACUUCUGUGCCGUAGCUAACGCAUUAAGCGCCCCGCCUGGGGAGUACGGCCGCAAG